CCCCAUUGCUAUUAGAAAUAAUUUAACAGAGCCUUACGCAAACCCUUUAUGCUAAAUCGCAGGGAUUUUUUUAGAUCACCAAAAAAAAUCAAGAAUCCUUCUUGAUUUUCUUUCUCUCUCUAAAGCUUCUCUCUCAGAUUUGAUCUAAAGGAGGAACAGGUGCAUGGAGAUGGAGGAAGGAGUAGAGGGCAUGGAGGAAGAUGGGCGGCAGGGAAGAGAUCACCUAUCUCUUUUUCAUACGCACUUUUUUUUUCCAUCCUUUUAUUUUGUCGCACAAAACAAAAAUUCCUCAUCCAACUCCAAUGCCCAAAACCAGAUAAGAGUCGAUCCAAUUCAAAUUUAAAUUCAAAUUGGAUCAGUUCCUAUCCAAAGGAAAGGGGUGUCGGAUGAGAUGGCUUCCACCUUGGAAGACAUCAGCGCACGCACACCCAGAUGAAAUCAACGCUCGCCCUUCUCACCUUUUCUUAUUUGGUCACACAAAAUCACCUCAUCCCAUGCCACAACCAGAUAAAACUAAUCUUAACUAAUCACUAAUCAAGUUUAAAAUCAGUUAGGAUAAGAUUUAUCAGGUUAGAGUCUAAACAAACCAAGAAAAUGGGCGCUAACAUCCACUUAUUCUUCACCCAC
Molecule: long non-coding RNA, 627 nt
Filed under: Elaeis guineensis (African oil palm)
Lineage: Eukaryota; Viridiplantae; Streptophyta; Magnoliopsida; Arecales; Arecaceae
Description: long non-coding RNA (EGUI_LNC028276)
Source: RNAcentral